Podarcis lilfordi (Lilford's wall lizard) is the source of this 5709-nucleotide non-coding RNA. The record is from the annotation of a GenBank genome assembly. NCBI's taxonomy places the organism in Eukaryota, Metazoa, Chordata, Lepidosauria, Squamata, Lacertidae.
GCCAGAACAGAAGCACUCAGCUCUUUUCUUGACAUCAUACGCCUCCCGCCUACUUCUGUGUGCGCAGUACACUCUGCUAAUUGCAUGCCCUGGCUUCUGAAGUCCGGGCCACUGAUUUAUGUCAGAGCACGGGCUGAUGGAAGGAGACGUCCAAGCUGGGCUUGCCAGCUGGCCUCCCGGCCCCUCUACAUGUCGACAGGUAUGUGAUGCUCUUUGUAAGUCUGUGUUUCUCCUUGUUAGUAAGGUUGAUACCACUAAUUCUAUUUGUCUUGAAGAUGCAAAAGAACAAAAGUGGGGAGGAAAGAGUGGUAGGAAGAUUGCCAUGACUGAGGUGUGUUUUGAGUAAACAACCACAGCUGGCUGCACCUUGUUAUCGUGCUUAUAAGACAUAUUUUCUAAGCCUGUAUCACAUUUGCAAACUCAAAUUAGGAGUGGAUAUAAAUUGAUGUUCAGAUGUAAUCACAGUUUUUCAAAUCUAACCCAAAUCACUCUCUCUCAUAUCCUUUAACAUUUUUGAAAUAUUAUUUAGCUCAUAUAUGGUUCUGCUCCAGUCAUUAAUAAAAAAACUGAAGGGAUUUUCUUCUACCAAAUAUUCCCAAAUGUGAACCACCUGUACAAGGGAUUCUCCACUUACUGUUGCAUUUUGCGUGGACAUGGAUUGGGAUGCUUUCUCAGGAUGAUGACACUAUAGAGAAGUUUAAAGAGGACAUGUUCCCAUUGUUUUCCAAAAGGGGCAUCUGCUUUGACUUCAUAGAGAAAUUCCCCAAACAAACUUCUUCUAGUGAUUUUGGUGACAUGCUAGAAGAGGGCUUGAAAUCUAUCAAAGUUGUUAUGGAAAGCACUGCCAAAGUUGUGGUUGUAUAUGGAGAAAUUCAGAGUAUAAUGGCAAUGAGAUCAAUGCACCAGCUUUUACAAUUUGCAAAUAUAUCAGUGAAUAUCCAGACAAAAGUCUGGAUUAUGACAGCUCAGAUGGAUUUCACAUCAUUUCCGUUCCAAAGAAGUUCAGACAUAAAUUUCCUCCAUGGUGCUGUAUCUCUUGCAAUUCACUCAAAGGAGGUGUCAGGAUUCCAUAAAUUUAUUCAGCAUAGGAACCCUUACUCAGAAAACAAUGAUGGUUUCAUAAAGGACUUCUGGGAAGAAUCAUUCAGCUGUACAUACCCCAAUUCUUUUGUAGACAAGAUGAACAAGAAAGUCUGCACUGGGGAGGAGAAGCUAGAGACCCUUCCCACAUCUGUUUUUGAAAUGUCUAUGACAGGAAAUAGCUACAGCAUCUACAAUGCGGUCUAUGCAGUGGCACAUGCAUUCAGUACAAGGCAUUCAUCCCAAGUCAAACACAGAGCAAUGGCAGAUGGAGUAAGAUUGGACCAACAACCAUGGCAGGUAAUGUCCUGCUCAUGAUUUUAAAGAUUGAGGUAUACCCCCAUAUUUGUAGGUGCAAAAACUUCCCAUUGCAUGCAUCUCCAUCCAAGACCUUUAGCAACUAUUCACUGAUUUUAUGGCAAUUUCUACUCUAUGGUAGAAAAAGGGAGGCAAGACCUGAUGUGAGAGCUAGGAAAACGUAUCAUUUCCUUUCUCCAGUACAUUUUGCGUUUUAUUUUUAAAAAAAAAUAAUGAGGGGGGGCAGCUCUGGUUUAGGGCGACGUAAGCUUAAGCUUGAGCUCUGCUCUGGCUCUGGAGUGGUUGGCUAUCGGACGGUGUAGGGGCUAUCGGGCAAUUGCCCUAAAAAAGUUCAACAACUCUUUCGUCCAGAUUUUUACCUCUUAAAAUGUGGCAUAAGCCUAGAAUGGUGGUUGUGCUGGGGGUGGAUGUGUUUAAACUGUCUCUUCAAGCCUAAAAGCCAGGACAAACUCAAAGCUUCCUCUCCUCAUUUUAGUCAGCCCCUUUUCAUUUUAGUGAUUAUGGGGUAAGUGGGUAGGUGUGGAUUCUUCCAUUUUUUUCUAGAGGAGGAAUUACUGGAAACAAAAAGGCAAAAGCACAUUUUCAUAGAUGCCAAAGUUUCUCCACUGUGCUGUAUUUUGAACAAGGGAGCAGGUGGGGCUGUCGUCUAAACCACGGGUUUUCUUGGGUUUGCCAAUUGUAAGGACAGCAGUUUGAAUCCAUGUAACGGGUGAGCUCCUGUUCCUCAGUCCCAGCUCCUGCCAACCUAGCAGUUCAAAAGCAUACCAGUGCAAGUAAAUAAAUAGGUACUGCUGUGGCAGGAAGGUAAACAGUGUUUCCAUGUGUCCUAUCACUCAUCACCGUGUCCUGUUGUGCCAGAAGCACUUUAAUCAUGCUGGCCACGACCCAAAAAUCUGUUUGUGGACAAAGACCGGCUCCCACGGCCUGAAGCGAGAUGAGCGCCACACCACAUAGUCAAGUUUUACUUAACCAUCCAGGUGUCCUUUACCUUUACCUUUACCUUUACUUAGAAGAGUAUAUGUCAAGCACUAUCUCAGGGGCAUUGUGGGGGGGGACACACAUCUCCUGACAUUUUAGGUCAUUUACUAUCAUUUCUACUAGGAUUCCUUUCAAGAAAACAUAAUCCAAAAUCUUCAUGUCUGAUAGAUUAUAACCUUGAUGUGCAUUUGCAUCCUUUGCACCUUUUAAGUACAGCCUUCUAUUUCCCCCCCUCAUAAAUUAGCUGCAUCAUGUUCUCAGAAGUAUUUCUUUUAACAACAGUGUGGAGGAAACAGUUUCCUUUGAUCAACAUGGGGAAAUAAUUGCUGGAUUUGAUAUUAUAAACUGGAUCACAUUUCCAAACCACUCCUUCCUCAGGGUCAAAGUUGGAAAGAUUGACCCAAUGGUUUACCAGGACAAUGUCUUCAUCAUUAAUGAGGAUGUCAUCAUAUGGCCCAACCAGUUUAAACAGGUAGUGACUGUGCACAUUUUGGGAUCUAUUGAAUAAUUUCCUCAAUGUUUAAAAAGUCACAUUGCCUCCAGAUUUUGAAGUGGAUGUUAGAAUGCUAAAGACAAAUGUAUGGAGUUCAAACAACACUGUCAUAAUGUGUAUUUUGUCUCAUGUUUUCUUAAUGUGGGUAAAGGACUCCAGUUAUAGGGACGUUCACCACAUAAAUAUGAUGCACACUCAAGAAUUCAUUAUAUUUCCUUAUGACAGUAUCAACCCAUUCCUUCACUGCAGAGAAAUAAUAAUGAAAUAAAAGCCCCACAACUUAUUUUUGGAUUUUUUAAAAAACUAUUUUAUCAUUUAAUAACAGAUGUGUCCCAUUUCCAUAUGCAAUGAUCACUGCAGUUCAGGUUACAGAAGAGCUAAAAAAGAAGGGAAGGCAUUUUGCUGCUAUGAUUGCUUUCCAUGUCCAGAAGGGAAGAUUUCAAACCAGAAAGGUAAUGAAUGUCAUAUGUAGAUGUGUUCUGUUUAACAGUUACCAUCUAUUUAACAGAUGGAUACCAUUUAUUUUAUAAAUAGAUCGGCUACAAUCCAGCUUGCUCCCAUCAGCCUUUUAAAUGCUUAAACUAAUUGCUCUAACAUUCAAAAUUGUGAAAUGUUAGCAUCCACAAAGCAUAUGUAAAGGGUUAAUGGCAAGAACCGUAGAACUCUGUGAUGUCAUACACUCUGUGGCCGUUAUGGCAGUUAGUUGAACAGUCUUAACAGUUAGAACAGGAGGUUUGUUUUGUGCUGCUGCUGUCUGCCUAAGAGAUAUCUGAAGAAGUGUGCAUGCACACAAAAGCUUAUACCCUGAACUAACUUAGUCGGUUUCUAAGCUGCUACUGGACAAUUUUCUUAUUAUCUUAUUUUACAUAGAUCAAACUGUUACAGUCUGUAACAGUUUAAUCUAUGUAAAAGCUAUUAGCAAUUUAAGUAUCACCUACCUGCAUUGAACAUAAUAAUCUGCAACUGCAAGAAUACUAAGUCAAAGUUAUUUGUUCUUUAAACUUUAAACAGAGAGUGUCUUGUGUAGUUACUAUAGGAGGGAAAAUAGAAAUAAUAAAAGGGUCAAACGAUCCAGGGCUAUCUUCCACAUAUUUCACAUGAGGUAACUUGGGUGGCUGAACAAAAUACAGUCAUACCUUGAGUUGAAUGUGCUUCGGGUUGAGCACAUUCUAGUUGCGCUCCACUGCAACCCGGAAGUAAUGGAUCGCAUUACUUUCGGGUUUCGCUGCUCGCGCAUGUGCAGAUGCUAAAAAUUACGUCACGUGCAUGCACGGAAGCAGCGAAACGCGACCCAUGCACACACAGAUGCGCCGUAGCGUCUCGCGUUCUAUUUGGGAUGCGAAUGGGGCUCCGGAACAGAUCCCGUUCACAUUACGAGGUACCACUGUAUAGGAAAAAUUCAUAGGGCAUAAGAAUAUUAGUGGGUUGGAAUAGCUGAAACAAAAAGACUGUGUAAGCCCCAGCCCCAAACACACAAAUCAAUAGACACAGAGGCCUCUGCUAUCUUCAGCCGCUAGCAGGAUGGCUGAGAUUUGUUUAUAUUUCUGGAUUUGCUUGGAACACAUGAGAAAGCAGGCCACUAAUGCCACUGAACUCAGAUUAUGCAGGAGGUAGAACUUCCUAUUAUUCUUACUGCAAAAUCAACUUUUGAUAUUUCAAGUUCACUACCCUCAUUCAGGAACAGAAAGCCAUAUUUAGAUAGCCUUUUAUGUUUAUUUUUCAUAUUUGAUUUCAGACAUGGAUGAUUGUUUUCAAUGUUCAGAAGAUCAGUAUCCAAACAUUGGCCAAGAUAUAUGUCUUCCAAAAGAAAUAAGCUUCCUGACUUACAAUGAGCCUCUGGGGAUCAGUUUCGUCACACUUGCUCUUUUAUUGACCUUCACUACAACUUUGGUGCUUAGGAUCUUCAUCAAGCACAAAGAAACUCCCAUAGUCAAAGCCAACAAUCGGACCCUCACCUAUGUUCUCCUCCUAGCCCUCGUUCUCUCCUUCCUUUGUCCUUUACUUUUCAUUGGCCAGCCCAUAAGAAUAACCUGCCUCCUUCGACAAACUGCUUUUGCAGUGAUCUUCUCAGUAGCAGUGUCUUGCAUCUUAGCAAAAACAACUAUAGUGGUUCUAGCUUUCAUGGCUACCAAGCCAGGCUCCAGAAUGAGGAGAUGGGUGGGGGGAAAUCUGGCCAUCUCCAUUGUUCUUUUCAGCUUCCUCAUUCAAGUGAUGAUUUGUAGUGCCUGGCUGAUAGUUGCUCCCCCACUCCCUGAUUUAGACAAGCACUCAGUGACUAAAGAAAUUGUACUGGAAUGUAACGAAGGAUCAGUCACCAUGUUCUACUGUGUCCUAGGCUUCAUGGGAAUGCUGGCCAUGGUCAGUUUCACUGUGGCUUUCCUAGCUAGGAAGUUACCAGACAGUUUUAAUGAAGCCAAGUUCAUCACCUUCAGCAUGUUGGUCUUUUGCAGUGUGUGGCUAUCCUUUGUUCCUACCUACCUGAGUACCAAGGGAAAGUACAUGGUGGCUGUGGAGAUCUUUUCUAUUAUGGCCUCUAGUUUUGGGUUACUAGGCUGUAUCUUCUUCCCCAAAUGUUAUAUCAUUUUGGUGAGGCCAGAGUUAAACAGCAGGGGACAGCUUACAAUAAGAAAGAAAUAAAGCAUGAACAAGUGUAUUUAAUGUAGCAUAUAAUAGCUGGACUGAAUCCACUUGUAUUCAUUUUGCCUCAACCCAACAAAACUCUCCCCAAAAUCCCAUAGAGCAGACCAUGUAGCUGUUCUCCCUGGACUUUCCUCUUACACAGUACUGUUAUUAAGGGAAGCAGUGGCUCAUGUAACCUAGACUCAUAGAGCUGGAAGGGA